Molecule: ribosomal RNA, 729 nt
Filed under: Triticum aestivum (bread wheat)
Lineage: Eukaryota; Viridiplantae; Streptophyta; Magnoliopsida; Poales; Poaceae
Description: partial small subunit ribosomal RNA
Source: RNAcentral
AUGGACAAGAGGUCCGGCGCCGGGUUCUGCUCCAAGUCGACGUCUGGCUCGGGGUUCUUCCGCAUGAGGAUGAAGGUACCCGGAGGGUACACGGCCGGAGUCGUCACAGCUUUCUUUCUGAUGUCAGUACCACCUCAGAGCAGUGACCGCGACGAGGUGGACUUCGAGUUCCUGGGCAACGUGGACGGCCAGCCCAUCACCCUCCAGACCAACGUCUUCGUCAACGGCCACGGCAACAGGGAGCAGAGGCUGAAGCUGUGGUUCGACCCGGCAGCCGACUUCCACGAGUACAAGAUACUCUGGAACCCUCACCAGCUCGUGACAUUUGUGGACGAUGUGCCGAUACGGGUGCUCAGGAACCUGACGGGCCGUGUGCCGGAGUACGAGUUCCCGGCGAAGCGGAUUGGCGUCUGGGCGAGCCUGUGGAACGGUUCCGAAUGGGCGACGGACCGCGGCAGGAUCAAGAUCGACUGGAACCGCGCGCCGUUCACCGCGGGGUACCAGGGCUUCGGUGUCGACGCCUGCGCCAACACCAGCUCGACGCCGUGCCACUCGAGGAACUGGUGGUGGAACGCCCACCGGUACAGGAGGCUGUCCGCCCGGCAGCGUGCGGCCUACGAGAACGUCAAGAAGACGUACGUGUACUACGACUACUGCGCCGACAAAGAUCGGUUCAAGAACACCACAAUGCCGGUUGAGUGCAGCCACAGUAGCUACUUAGCCUACUAG